ACAAAUCCAAUGCUUGUGAGAUGAUUUUAAUUAAUUGUCUUGCAAAUAUUAAUCCGCUGGCCUCGCAAGGGGCUAGUUGAUAGAUAACGAUAUAAAUGUGUGUAGUGUUGACAGUGUGUGAUAUUUAAUUAAUUAUUGA
Molecule: unclassified non-coding RNA, 139 nt
Filed under: uncultured Rozellomycota
Lineage: Eukaryota; Fungi; Rozellomycota
Description: uncultured Cryptomycota sequence contains ITS1
Source: RNAcentral